GUGUGUUGAGGGUGGGAACGAAGCCAGAGACCAGAAGUACAAUUACUUCUGACACUCCUCACAGGUUUGGUUAAGGACCACCUAACGUGGUUAACCGCCCUGGCUAACGGGGACACUGCUGACAAUACACGUGGCUGUUAGUUCCUGAUUUCUGCUUAAGUACACUCAGAAGAGGAUCAGCUGCUGAUCACAAGUCUGACUCAGCCAUAUCUCAUCGCUACAGCCCUUGGUCACAAGAUGUCUGACUCUAUGUCACCAGCCUAACAGAAGAUCAAAUUGUGCUGCCAAAGCACAGAACACACCCAGCGUCUUGGAUUUCAUCUGUCUUGCAUUUCCUUAAAUAUCAGUUACAGGAAAAGCAGCAACUGAAAUAGAGUUCUCAAAUGUUCUGGAUGGUAAAUAAAACAAGGCAUAUGCUAUAAUACCCUCUGAGAGAAAUGCUCUUGCCCUGGUGUGUGUGGAAGGUCCUACAAGUAUGUAGAAUAUGCUGUUCACCUGGCUUCCAUUUACUAAGAGUUAGUUGGCUGGCCUAUGUUUUGAAGGGAGUGACAUUCUCUUGGCCAGGACUUUCUGGCUCAUUCCUCUCAUAAUCAGGGAAAAGGGUCUGUUUAUCAAGAAUGAGAAAAGUCUUUCUGGAUAGUUGUCACUCUGUGCCUAGGAGAUGACUGUUGAGCUUCUAUGACCACCUCCUCCUGUCAACUCAGUCUUUGAAGCAAUACAGAGACUAUCCUGUGAAGAAAGGACAGUAACUCACAGCAUCAAUACUAAGGGAUACCACUACCCUUGGAUUUGGCUUCCAUCUGAUGGAAAAAGCGCUUCAGCCUAUAGCUAAUAACUGGGAUCAUUUAAAUAGCAAAGCAUGUAACACUAAAAUAUAUUAAGACACUUAAUACAAGACAAAUUAUGACUAUCACAGGAAGGAGCAUCCUGGGACAAGUCCACCAAGCAGACUGUGUCCCUCCAAAUAUAAGCAUGCGUGUUGUGCUGCCACAGUGACUAUGCCUACCAGACUAAAAGUGAGCAGUGAUGUAGAUGACGCUGUAGCUACUGGCAAAGUCUCUUUGUUUUCCCCACCAUGUACACAAGGCAUGUACUGUAGGCUUUGAAGAUUUUCCUGUCUGCCUUCCUUCUCUCCACAGGAGUACUGAGAUUUCACAUGUAUGGUACAGAGGUUGGCUUUACUUAAGUUUGGGGGAUUUGAGUUCAGAUCUUCAUAUUCACAGGAUAAGCACUCUACCCACUAAGUCAUCUCCCUAUCCCUUUGUUCUAGUUCCAUUAAAUACUAGGAAUUUUCCAAAUUCCUCCCUGAUUUCAUCAACAGCCCAUUGUUCAAAACAGUGUUGUAUUGUUUUGUCUCAAAGUGUGUGUGUGUGUGUGUGUGUGUGUGUGUGUGUGUGUGUGUGUGUUUCUGAGGUCAGACUUGCCGUUGACCUCUAGUUUCAUCCCACUGUAGCCUGAAAAUACUUGAGGACUUAUUUUGAUGUUUUUCAAUUUAUUAAAGUUUGCUUCAUGACCAAUGGCAUGAUCAAUUUUAAUGGAAGGUCUAUGGGUCAUUGUGAAAACUAUUUAUUUUCUUUCUGUUGUGUGGAACAUUCUAUACACUUCUAUGAAAUCCAAUUGAUUUACUGUUUAAUUCACCUAUAAGUUUUCUCUGCUGGUUUUUUAAUUUGCGAGAUCUAUCUCAAUGUGAGAUGGGGUAUUGAGCCUCCACCAUUAUUAUGCCAGGGCCUAGGUGGCCUUUUAUGCGUUUUAGUGUUUGCUGUGUCCUAUUUAUUAGUAUUCCCUUUCAUGAGUGUGUAGGGGACCCUAUACUUCUUUUAACUUGUUCAGGUUGCAAGUCUGUUUUAAGAGGUAUAAGAAUCACUGUGGAAGCUUUUCUGCAGCUUCCACUUGCUUGGUAUUUCCUCCUCCAACCUUCACUUCUCAGCUUGCUCUAAGUCCUUGGGGACCAAUUCCUUCUCUGCCUGGGUUCAACCUCGCUUCUUAGUGAACUGCUGAGUACACUGGGUACAUGCCCUUUCAGGCCAUCUUCUUCCAGUGCCUUGAGCCUUGAUGGUAGGACUAGUCAAUCCACCUGAGGAGCCAAACAGACAUGUCAAGCUCCUCCUAACCUCCUGGUUCCUCUUCCUUGUUCCUUCUACCUGAUAUGAAGGGAGGGUGGAGUAGUGUUUGCCAGGUAGGACUCUCUCUCUCUCUCUCUCUCUCUCUCUCUCUCUCUCUCNCUCUCUCUCUCUCUGUCUCCCUCUCUUUCUUUGUAGCUGUUACUUCUUUUCUUCCAAUCCAGACCCAAAACCUUUCCUCUAUAUCCCUUCUGACUUUUCUUAUUUUGACUCUCAUCUUUAUUGGCACACACUGAGGCAGCCUCUAGUCUAUGAUCUUAGAAUGAAGCCCUCUCUAAAUAUUAAGUUCAAAAUGUCAGGAAAUGAUUAACCCAUGUGGGGUAAUAAAAGCAUUUGCACAGAAAUGGGAAUUGCCUAGGUGCGGAGUAUCUUGAGUGUUGCUGACUACAGCUUGUUAGAGACAUUGAAAAGCUUGCAUUAAUAUCACUUUUGAAUGUACAAAGGUUUUGAUUGCUAUGCAUGUUUGGUCUGAUAGUUGAAGAAGAGUUUUCAUAAUACCCUGAUUCCUUUGCUUCCUGUCUACACUGUAGAACAUAUCUUCAUCCAUGAAGAUCUCCCUUGGUGCUUCUAGGGUAUGUUCAACAAGAAAGGCUUUGUCUGCCAGAAAAACUAGCUAUAUCUGAUAUAUCUGAUAAAAUAAUUAAAUAAAUAAAAAUUUUGGAACAUGCUGAAAUAGCUGGAAGAUCAUGAUAUACACUAGAGACUGCAGGAGGUUAUUAUAAUAACCUCUCUAAUAGUUUUAAGGAUUUGUUCUGUUCCCAUGCAUUUAAUAAGGAAGUAAUAUAAAAUGUUUGUCCCUAGCCUAGAGGACAGCCAGAUGGACAUUAGCCAAAUGUAAAUAGACUUGCUUCCUUCUUUAUAUUUGUGUUCAAAAGUUCAAAUGUGAUAAAGAAUAAUCAUUCUAUUUUAGUUGGCCAUUCGAGCAAAUGGCAGUUAGCUUCAUCUUUUCCUUAACCUGUCUUAGGACAAUGGUGCUAGACGUCUAGUUACCAUAAGGAAAGCAAUAGCAAACAGUUUUUAAAGUCUUCUUCCUUCAAUGGGAAUAAUUUAAAUACUUUAUAUUUCCAUAAUUAUUUAAUCCAAAUACUGUGUUGAUAUUCUCUAUUUAUAAUUGUCUCUUUCAUUUCCUCUUUGUUAUAGCUAAGGAUACAUAUUCUAUGUGACUUAUACGUUAGCAUCCCUUCGCAUCCCAGAAUACUACAAAGUAGAGCGUUUUGACUCAAGGGUCAUAAGAAGCCUUAUUUGGGCUUCGUUUUGGUGGGGAUGGGGAUUGAUUCCAGUGCAUUGCGCAUGCUAGACAGGCACUCUACUACCAAGCUUGCUACGUUUUGUCAUGAGACUAACUUGAACUUUCCUACAAAUAAUAUCCACUCUGCACUUAAUAUGCAGUUUAAUCAUUACAGCAACCCUGGGAAUCAACACACAAUUUUCAUUUCCUGAGAUUGUAAGACAGUUUCAGUAAAAAAAGCUCAGACCCAAGCAGCCCACCCUCACACUGCUCCCUCCAUAUGUGCUCCUGAAUUCAACCCUGGCUAGUGUAUAAUCUGGCGACUUAAUGAGCUAUGAUAAAGGAUGUUAAUAAAGUAAGAGCAAGUAUGUAUUUAGGCAUGGUAUGAUGGAAAAACAAACAAACAAAAAAAAAACGUAUAUCAGACUUAUGCAUAGCAUCAGUGUUCUAUUGCUGAGACACCAUAGCCAUGAGAUGCCAAACAUCAUCCAUCUGAGAAUCGGCCUCCAUCUUAAAAAAUAAAGAAAAGAAAAAAAAAAAA
Molecule: long non-coding RNA, 3889 nt
Filed under: Mus pahari (shrew mouse)
Lineage: Eukaryota; Metazoa; Chordata; Mammalia; Rodentia; Muridae
Description: lncRNA (MGP_PahariEiJ_G0005119.1)
Source: RNAcentral